CCUACGGGAGGCAGCAGUGAGGAAUAUUGGUCAAUGGGCGGGAGCCUGAACCAGCCAAGUCGCGUGAGGGAAGACGGUCCUAUGGAUUGUAAACCUCUUUAGGCGGGGAGCAAUGCCGGGCACGCGUGCCCGGAGGGAGAGUACCCGCAGAAUAAGCAUCGGCUAACUCCGUGCCAGCAGCCGCGGUAAUACGGAGGCUGCGAGCGUUAUCCGGAUUGAUUGGGUUUAAAGGGUGCGUAGGCGGAUUUUUAAGUCAGCGGUAAAAUGUCCGGGCUCAACCCGGGCCGGCCGUUGAAACUGGGGAUCUUGAGUGGGCGAGAAGUAUGCGGAAUGCGUGGUGUAGCGGUGAAAUGCAUAGAUAUCACGCAGAACUCCGAUUGCGAAGGCAGCAUACCGGCGCCCGACUGACGCUGAGGCACGAAAGCGUGGGGAUCGAACAGGAUUAGAUACCCGAGUAGUC
RNAcentral lists this ribosomal RNA (460 nucleotides) under uncultured bacterium. RNAcentral describes it as "partial 16S ribosomal RNA". It matches the Rfam family "Bacterial small subunit ribosomal RNA", at positions 338 to 795 of the family's 1533-position model. The record is from RNAcentral.